UCCGUAGGGGGCAAGCGUUGUCCGGAAUCAUUGGGCGUAAAGCGCGUGUAGGCGGUCCGGUAAGUCGGCUGUGAAAGUCCAGGGCUCAACCCUGGGAUGCCGGUCGAUACUGCCGGACUAGAGUUCGGAAGAGGCGAGUGGAAUUCCCGGUGUAGCGGUGAAAUGCGCAGAUAUCGGGAGGAACACCAAUGGCGAAGGCAGCUCGCUGGGACGUUACUGACGCUGAGACGCGAAAGCGUGGGGAGCAAACAGG
RNAcentral lists this ribosomal RNA (253 nucleotides) under uncultured bacterium. RNAcentral describes it as "partial 16S ribosomal RNA". It matches the Rfam family "Bacterial small subunit ribosomal RNA", at positions 524 to 776 of the family's 1533-position model. The record is from RNAcentral.